RNAcentral lists this transfer RNA (1100 nucleotides) under Capra hircus (goat). RNAcentral's name for it is "lncRNA (ENSCHIG00000007067.1)". Lineage: Eukaryota; Metazoa; Chordata; Mammalia; Artiodactyla; Bovidae. The record is from RNAcentral.
AUGCAAGUCACACCCCCAAUACACAGCAAAACUCAAUGCCAGGUAUCACCUGGAACUCAUGUUGCAGGCCUUGCCCCCCAUGGGGUUAGAAGAGCCACCCACCACAUGUGCAGGAGUGCCUUGAUCAUCCGGGGCCAAGUCCAGCCCACCGUCUGUGCUUGUGAAAUUGCAGGAGAGCCUACACCGGGCAACUCCACCCCGCGGGGAUUUUUAUUAAGGACCGUAAUCACCAAAUCAUCCGCUGCCCCACCAGCCACAGGCUCCGGGCCCACCCCUUCAAAGGGGAUUUUUGCCAUGUUCACAGCCCACACACAUGAUCCCAAAUACUUUAUAAGCUCUGGUGAACGCUGUGGUAAAUCUGCAGGAGAAUCAGCGGUUAGCAGCACAUCAGAGGACACAGACUUUACAGUACACUUCCACAAAAGUGGAGACCAUCUACUGAUUUCGAACCCUGUUUCUCAAAGUGUGGUCCCCAGACCGGCAGCAUCACCAUCUCCUGGAUAGAAAUGCACAACAAACCUCACCUCAGCCCCACCAAAUCAAAGUCCCAGGAAUCACCAACUUAAUGCAGAAUAAAGCUAGAAAUCAAACAACCAUAUCUCAAAGGGAUAAUGUUCCUCCAAUGCUCACAGGCUGCCCACUUCUCCCCAGGAGCCUCCAGACAACCCCAGCAGUGGAGCUAGGACAAGAGGAAUCCCAUAAUAAUCGCAUGGAAAUUUCAUAUAAAAAUGUGUUACAGUUUUAAAUGAAUUUGAAUAGUAGUUAGAGCUUACUUUAUUCCUCCUUAAGACCUAUCCUAUAAAUCUGUUGAGACUGUUCUUAUUGUAUUUAUUUUUAAUAACUUUAUUUAUUUAAUUAAUUUUUUGGCUUCAUGGCAUGUAGGAUCUUAGUUCUCCAAUCAGGGAUUGAACCUGAGCCCCUGCAGUGGAAGCAGGGAGUCUUAACCACUGGACCAACAGAGAAUUCCCUACUGAGGCCCUUUUUAUAUGAGUCUCAGAAAGAUGAUUUCUUUGUCUUCUGGGUUUUGAUAUUAUCCCUGGAAAACAAAAUAACAACAACGAAUACACAAAGGGUGUGUCUGUGUUGUAUAUUUCUUGAGC